Molecule: ribosomal RNA, 4458 nt
Filed under: Triticum aestivum (bread wheat)
Lineage: Eukaryota; Viridiplantae; Streptophyta; Magnoliopsida; Poales; Poaceae
Description: partial small subunit ribosomal RNA
Source: RNAcentral
UAAUGAAAGUUACUUAUUAGACUAGUAUUUGGGUGUUAAGUAGUAUAGGGUUUUUUGUGUGGCGUUUUCUUCUAAUGUAAUCUAUCUUGAGGUUCUUCGAGCCCCUCUAAUAACAUAACCUCUAGUUUCUCUCUCUUCUUCGGUAGAUCUAUGAUCGAUACCUGGAUAUCCACACACCACUUGAUGAGUGUGUAGUAACGAUCCCGUCGUUCCAACUACAUCUUCGGGAGGCACUAGCUAAUGGGGAGGCUGUAUCAUGAUCUUUUCCGGAGGUCUACCCUAGCGCCUUGUUGUCUUCGAACACCGCCGCCUUUUUAACAAAGCCCAACGAGGGACCCCCAAAGGUUUAUAAACUCUUAAAUAUCUUCACCUUAAUCCAGUCUGUCUCGGUGCACCUCGGGUGUUCCGUAGUCCCGUGCGGAUGGGGGGUUCCACGCGGGACAACGGAACGGCAGAGGAGCAUACAGCAGACCAGAGGAGGGUUUCGGAGGUACCAGAGAAAAGAGGGUUUUUUUAACAGUUUUUCAAAGUAUCGUAAACCUCAGGCAAACCAUGGCUACAAGACCUUUUGGUUUUUGUCGGUUUUUAUCGUUGACCGUGAUCCGUGAUCCAAUUAUCCGAUCAAGUGUUUUUACUAUAUUUUAACGUAUAAUUUCGUAUAUUUCAUAGGUUUUAACUAUUAUAUUAUCCAACUUUAUUAGUUUUAAAUAGCUAUGCAACCUCUGAAUAGUCCACCAGCGCAAAAGUUUUCACUAGUUCGUUCGGCUGGUUCCUGAAAUAAAUCUCGAUGUCCCAGAUCCAGUAUCUGUAGAGCUUCACGCACAAAGGAAAGGAAGGAACUCUACACCCACUACAUCUAGUAUAAGUGUAGGAACUGUAGCCUUCCCUUGACGAAGACCGGAAGCAACGAGCCGGAGGCUCCAAGUAGGAGUAGCAGCGACGCCCUGACCGAAAACGAGACCGGAAGCUGACGGUGGAACUGCCGGAUGAACUACUGGAUCGUUAAGGCCAAUCACACCAACCAGCCGAACAGGCUUCAAGUACUUAAACCGUCUCGGACAGCUCUUAAAACAGCUCGCGCGAUCCUGUCAGGAAUAAAGGAAAUUUCCCGAAGAAAAAGACCGGUCGUAACCGGCGAUGUAGGUGCCGUAGUGACGGCGAUAAAAAUACAGCCGCGAACAAGAAUAACGUGGAUCCGAACGGCAACGGUAGCGCGUGGAGGCUCCCAGGUCGAAGCAACGGUACUCUCGACACUCGGUCGGUCAACAGGAGCGGACGCGUUUUCGUCCAGUAGUCUCUCCAUUCCCGACGGUACCAAGAAUCGAACAGGAUAUACUCGAUAGUAUGGUUGGUAAGUAGGGCCUAUGAUAUGGCCUUCCGCUGCUAGUGAAUACGUAGUCCUGUUUGUUGAUAAACCAAGAAAAAUCAAUUCUUGGCUAAGGUUUUAAAGGACCGGCUGAGCGAUCCGACAACUUACUACACCGACUCCAGUAACCACAGACCUCUAGUCUGCAUCCACGGGACCUUCAAAUGAGCUUUCCGUGGGAGCUCGACGAGGAUCGAGGGCUAUCUAAACAGUCCAUUCUACAACUCGGUUACGGAACAGCUAGGGAACUCGAAGUGGCCUUCCAUGAAUUAUCACACCUCCAGUAGAGAUGAUCGCUAUACUUACACCUCCUCCUUUAGAAGCUAGGUGUAUCGGCCCAGUCAGUAAGGUAGCAUGCGGAGCUACAACUACCCAAAUUUGGGAAGCUCCUCGACUACGAGGUACUGGAACAAACAUUUCGUAUAGUCCACACACCCCGUGACCUUUUCCUUGGUGGAGUAGGGUCUGUAACCAACCGUAAGCUCGUAUACGAACGAGGACCCGGGAGGGUAUGGACAGGUUGGUCCGGACCAUCGACUGGAUACAUCGUCCGCGCACAGGAACACUAGGUAUUUACCUAGCUCGAUCUUGGUCCAAACGCAAAAUGACGCAAGCGUUUAACAAGCUGAGCCCCAUUACCUAACCCAGCAACGGAAGUGCCGCUCCAUAGUAAUCUCCUAAAGACAAAAGGGGACAGCCGGACAGAGUGAGAGCGGGGGAUCUUCCCUCUAACCCAACUAGUCGAGCCAGCACGGAUUAACCGUGUAAGAGUCGAUGAAGUAACAAGUUCAGUUCUUCGUUUACGGCUACAACCAUCCUAAACCGAACGGGGAGCGUAGCACGGAGUUCUAGAACUAGUUGACGCACGUAGAGAUACGUGAACAGUAAUUCGCAUAAAACUAGUCGCUCUUCAACGACGACGAAAAAGAAAUACGAGGACCACCAACGUCGCUCCGCGACGGCCUUAGGGAGAACGAGCAUGCCCAGGAGCCCCUGUUACUUCAGAACCCCAGGCUCCGAGUGUAGGAGGAGUUUAAGUCCUUCCAUUAGUGAAAAGAGGAGUCGGAACCCUAGGAACCCCAGGGACAACGGCUAGACUCGCCCUCACCGCAAUAACGGUAAAGGGACCAGCAGCUGCAACAGUCCCCACCCCGGUAGUCAGCACCGACGGUACAACAACCAGACCCACAACGGGGACGGUCACGGAAAACCAGCGGAUGCUCCCGCAGCUGCAGACCCACCUAGAAAGUCGCACAGGUGGUAUAUUUGUAGUAUCCAUCUGCAGCUCCGGGUUAACAGCCACACCCCACACUGGGGACUUUUACGGCGGGGGUUACGUCGUAACCGUAAAAGUAGGUAUAGUCGACGGAGUAGCCUCCGCAUCAAGUCCUGCAGUCAAUUCAGGAACUAACAUCCUGAUCCACUCACCACCCACCCUACAUUUAAAGGGAUCGUAGUAGAAAUGUAGGCUAGGAUAGUAUCUGGCUCCUGCUCUAGUGAUCUAAGAUUUAGGCCAGAUCCUAGAGCAAAUAGACGCUCUCUAGAGAAACUAGGUACCGGACAGACAUUCGGUCCAGCUUUACUUUAUACGAGACACCCAACGAACCGACGGAAUCUCAACACCGACCGCUCCCAACUGAGUAUCAGCCGGUCGCUUCUCUAUACCUAAGUUUAGAUUACGGCCAUGGUUCAAGCCUGAACUGAGCUCCAGUUUUAGACUACUCUGUCGUUAGCCCAGAUGCGAACUUUAGCGCAGACUGCGCUGCUACCGGUCUGGGUAUGAGCUGCGAUCGAGACUACUCCGUAGGUAAGACUCGUGGCCUAAUACCCAGUCAACGCCCCAGUUUCGGUCACACAGACUUCUCAAGCGUCCGGUUAGACCGUAGGUCCGUUUCUCCCGCUCCAGCGACACCCUCAGCCGCCACAUGAGCUUUGUAAACUUGUACUACUGAACCAAGUCUUACUUCGAAAACUGCGCCAGCUCCACCGGUUAGCUUAACCGCACGUCCUGCCACAACGACUUUCGUUUUUCGACUGGUGCCUGCUUCCACAGUGGUGUCAACUACAGACGUCCGCUCGGUAGCUAGGAAAAGUUAGUGUGUCGCCCGGAGAGUUACUUUCUUGGUUACGGCCAUGAUUUUGGCCGCCUAGAGCCCAACCCCCGGGGUUCGACAGCUAGAGCCUAGUUACCCAUUGUUCUCUGCCUCCUCUGUAAUCAAAGGGUCCAAGCCCGGGAAAGCUCCUCCAUUUUGGGAUGCAUGACAAAACUAACAUAACUACUACUACAUAGCUCAUGUCCGAACUAGAUUGAGCUUGAGCAUACAACUCAAGAUUGGGAUUCCAUCCAUUUAACACUAGUAGGGAGAUGCCUGAUUUUGGGGAAACGAAUAUAUCCACGACCCAUAGAUCCCAAUGUGUACCAGCCAACGGUUGAUCCCUAUUUGUACGGCUGUCCGCUUCAUCAGGAACUUCAUGCACGGUUCAGAAACCCACUCAGGUAGAACCAGUACAUAUUCUAGCUCCGAAGAUAACAGGAGGGAACACUGCAGCCACCCGGUAUUCGAGCCGGGUACCUGACACCCGGUUGAUCCAAGCAUGGGGGAUCAGGUCCUGUGGUCGCACUUCGGGAACCUUUUACCAAGGAGUCCUUACACGCCGAGCUUCGUACAGCCCGGCCAUCUUGAAAGGGGGAAGUUCCGGUCCCUGGCACGGUCGGCGAGCUAUGCCACCGCUCGCAGAACGAGCAGUACUCCCCGGGCGCCGGGGUCGGCGAGUGAAUAGCGUCCCGCGCGUCGGCCGGGAUGCUUACGGCCGACCGGGGUUACACGUCCACCCCCGACGGCACGGCCGGUCACCACACGAGGCUGUCGGCCGAGCAAGUGUGCCGACGACUGUCAGCCGCCCAGCGCCUAUGGAGACGAGGCCAACGGGGCGUCGGCCGAAGAACAACGGCAGGCUGUUUCUACGAACAACACAGCCGACUCCCCGGGGUCGGCGGGCGGCCAGCCGGUCGAGCUCUCCUCCCCAGGGUCUCACUCUUCGUCUACUGACAACUCCGUCAUGGCUAACACGGACGACGACCAAGCGCCAUC